RNAcentral lists this ribosomal RNA (433 nucleotides) under uncultured bacterium. RNAcentral describes it as "partial 16S ribosomal RNA". It matches the Rfam family "Bacterial small subunit ribosomal RNA", at positions 29 to 507 of the family's 1533-position model. The record is from RNAcentral.
AACGAACGCUGGCGGCAUGCCUAACACAUGCAAGUCGAACGAGACCUUCGGGUCUAGUGGCGCACUGGUGCGUAACGCGUGGGAAUCUGCCCUUGGGUUCGGAAUAACAGUUAGAAAUGACUGCUAAUACCGGAUGAUGUCUUCGGACCAAAGAUUUAUCGCCCAGGGAUGAGCCCGCGUAGGAUUAGCUUGUUGGUGGGGUAAAGGCCUACCAAGGCGACGAUCCUUAGCUGGUCUGAGAGGAUGAUCAGCCACACUGGGACUGAGACACGGCCCAGACUCCUACGGGAGGCAGCAGUGGGGAAUAUUGGACAAUGGGCGAAAGCCUGAUCCAGCAAUGCCGCGUGAGUGAUGAAGGCCUUAGGGUUGUAAAGCUCUUUUACCCGGGAUGAUAAUGACAGUACCGGGAGAAUAAGCCCCGGCUAGCUACGUG